AUGAAAGAGUGAAUGAAAUAUAAAUUGUCUCAAUAUAAUAAAAUUGAAUUUAAAUUAAGAGUUAAAAUGCUUUUAUUUAUUUAUUAGACGAUAAGACCCUAUAGAAUUUAAUAAAGUUUAUUUUUUAAAAUUAAUUUAUUUUAUAGAAUUUAAUUAAUAAAUAUAUUUUAUUGGGAGGAUAAUUAAAUUAGUUUAACUUUAAUAAAAUAUAAACAUAGAUUAAUGAGUUAUUUGAUUAUUAU
This 242-nucleotide ribosomal RNA is filed under the name Vespa analis. RNAcentral's name for it is "partial 16S rRNA". The record is from RNAcentral. Lineage: Eukaryota; Metazoa; Arthropoda; Insecta; Hymenoptera; Vespidae.